Long non-coding RNA from Sinocyclocheilus anshuiensis, 98 nucleotides. RefSeq lists it as uncharacterized. The record is from RefSeq and is a predicted model, not a curated record. The transcript has 3 exons. NCBI's taxonomy places the organism in Eukaryota, Metazoa, Chordata, Actinopteri, Cypriniformes, Cyprinidae.
AACUUGCAUUCUUUUAUACAUUUUUUAUAUAUUUUUCCUUGUUAUAUUGUUUACAAUUAAUAGACUGAGGAAUACUAAGAAGGUUGAUGUCUAAAUUU